GCGGCGUGCCUAAUACAUGCAAGUCGAGCGGACAUAUGGGAGCUUGCUCCCUGCUGUUGGCGGCGGACGGGUGAGUAACACGUGGGUAACCUGCCUGUCCUACUGGGAGAACUCCGGGAAACCGGGGCUAAUACCGGAUGCUUGAUUGAACCGCAUGGUUCAAUUAUAAAAGGUGGCUUUUACCUACCGCUUACUGAGGAACCCCCGGCGCAUUAUUUAGUUGGUGAGGGAACGGCUCCCCAAGGCGGCGAUGCUUAGCCGACCAGAUAGGGGGAUCGGCCGCCCUGGGACUGAUAAACGGCCCACACUCCUCCGGGAGGAAGCAGUAGGAAAUCUUCCUCAAUGGAGGAAAAUCUGACGAAGCAACACCGCGUGAGGGAUGAAGGUUUUCGGAUCAUAAAACUCUGUUGUUAGGAAAGAACAACUACCUUUCGAAUAGGGGGGAACCUUGACGGUACCUAACCAAAAAGCCCCGGCUAACAACGUGCCACCAGCCGCGGUAAAACAUAGGUGGCAAGCGUUUUCCGGAAUUUUUGGGGGUAAAGCGCGCGCAGGCGGUUUUUUAAAUCUGAGGUGAAAACCCCCGGCUCACCCGGUGAGGGUCAUUGGAAACUGGGGAACUUGAGU
Molecule: ribosomal RNA, 627 nt
Filed under: Bacillus licheniformis
Lineage: Bacteria; Bacillati; Bacillota; Bacilli; Caryophanales; Bacillaceae
Also listed under: 1 other name
Description: bacterial SSU rRNA
Rfam family: Bacterial small subunit ribosomal RNA
Source: RNAcentral